Molecule: ribosomal RNA, 301 nt
Filed under: uncultured bacterium
Lineage: Bacteria
Description: partial 16S ribosomal RNA
Rfam family: Bacterial small subunit ribosomal RNA
Source: RNAcentral
CAGUAGCCGCGGGAAUACGAAGGUCCCGAGCGUUGUUCGGAAUCACUGGGCGUAAAGGGAGCGUAGGCGGCGUGGUAAGUCAGAUAUGAAAUCCCGGGGCUCAACCCCGGAACUGCAUCCGAUACUGCCGUGCUAGAGGAUUGGAGAGGUAGCUGGAAUUCUUGGUGUAGCAGUGAAAUGCGUGGAGAUCAAGAGGAACACUCGUGGCGAAAGCGAGCUACUGGACAAUAUCUGACGCUGAGGCUCGAAGGCCAGGGUAGCGAAAGGGAUUAGAUACCCGGGUAGUCCCUGUCUCUUAUAC